This 301-nucleotide ribosomal RNA is filed under the name uncultured bacterium. RNAcentral's name for it is "partial 16S ribosomal RNA". It matches the Rfam family "Bacterial small subunit ribosomal RNA", at positions 509 to 807 of the family's 1533-position model. The record is from RNAcentral.
CAGCCGCCGCGGGAAUACGAAGGGUGCAAGCGUUACUCGGAAUUACUGGGCGUAAAGCGUGCGUAGGUGGUGGUUUAAGUCCGUUGUGAAAGCCCUGGGCUCAACCUGGGAAUUGCAGUGGAUACUGGGUCACUAGAGUGUGGUAGAGGAUAGUGGAAUUUCCGGUGUAGCAGUGAAAUGCGUAGAGAUCGGAAGGAACAUCUGUGGCGAAGGCGACUAUCUGGGCCAACACUGACACUGAGGCACGAAAGCGUGGGGAGCAAACAGGAUUAGAUACCCGCGUAGUCCCUGUCUCUUAUAC